UCCUGGCUCAGGAUGAACGCUGGCGGCGUGCUUAACACAUGCAAGUCGAACGGUGAAGCCCAGCUUGCUGGGUGGAUCAGUGGCGAACGGGUGAGUAACACGUGAGCAACCUGCCCCUGACUCUGGGAUAAGCGCUGGAAACGGCGUCUAAUACUGGAUAUGUGACGUGGCCGCAUGGUCUGCGUCUGGAAAGAAUUUCGGUUGGGGAUGGGCUCGCGGCCUAUCAGCUUGUUGGUGAGGUAAUGGCUCACCAAGGCGUCGACGGGUAGCCGGCCUGAGAGGGUGACCGGCCACACUGGGACUGAGACACGGCCCAGACUCCUACGGGAGGCAGCAGUGGGGAAUAUUGCACAAUGGGCGCAAGCCUGAUGCAGCAACGCCGCGUGAGGGAUGGCGGCCUUCGGGUUGUAAGCCUCUUUUAGCAGGGAAGAAGCGAAAGUGACGGUACCUGCAGAAAAAGCGCCGGCUAACUACGUGCCAGCAGCCGCGGUAAUACGUAGGGCGCAAGCGUUGUCCGGAAUUAUUGGGCGUAAAGAGCUCGUAGGCGGUUUGUCGCGUCUGCUGUGAAAUCCGGAGGCUCAACCUCCGGCCUGCAGUGGGUACGGGCAGACUAGAGUGCGGUAGGGGAGAUUGGAAUUCCUGGUGUAGCGGUGGAAUGCGCAGAUAUCAGGAGGAACACCGAUGGCGAAGGCAGAUCUCUGGGCCGUAACUGACGCUGAGGAGCGAAAGGGUGGGGAGCAAACAGGAUUAGAUACCCUGGUAGUCCACGCCGUAAACGAUGAUAACUAGCUGUCGGGGGUCAUGGACUUUCGGUGGCGCAGCUAACCAUUAAGUUAUCCGCCUGGGGAGUACGGCCGCAAGGUUAAAACUCAAAGAAAUUGACGGGGGCCUGCACAAGCGGUGGAGCAUGUGGUUUAAUUCGAAGCAACGCGCAGAACCUUACCAGCGUUUGACAUCCUCAUCGCGGAUUUCAGAGAUGAUUUCCUUCAGUUCGGCUGGAUGAGUGACAGGUGCUGCAUGGCUGUCGUCAGCUCGUGUCGUGAGAUGUUGGGUUAAGUCCCGCAACGAGCGCAACCCUCGUCUUUAGUUGCCAUCAUUUAGUUGGGCACUCUAAAGAAACCGCCGGUGAUAAGCCGGAGGAAGGUGGGGAUGACGUCAAGUCCUCAUGGCCCUUACACGCUGGGCUACACACGUGCUACAAUGGCGGUGACAACGGGUUGCUACCUCGCGAGAGGAUGCUAAUCCCAAAAAGCCGUCUCAGUUCGGAUUGUUCUCUGCAACUCGAGAGCAUGAAGGCGGAAUCGCUAGUAAUCGCGGAUCAGCAUGCCGCGGUGAAUACGUUCCCAGGCCUUGUACACAUCGCCCGUCACACCAUGGGAGUUGGAUUCACCCGAAGGCGUUGCGCUAACCCGUAAGGGAGGCAGGCGACCACGGUGGGUUUAGCGACUGGGGUGAAGUCGUAACAAGGUA
This 1470-nucleotide ribosomal RNA is filed under the name metagenome. RNAcentral describes it as "bacterial SSU rRNA". It matches the Rfam family "Bacterial small subunit ribosomal RNA". The record is from RNAcentral.